RNAcentral lists this long non-coding RNA (387 nucleotides) under Amborella trichopoda. Its description in RNAcentral is "long non-coding RNA (ATRI_LNC003070)". Lineage: Eukaryota; Viridiplantae; Streptophyta; Magnoliopsida; Amborellales; Amborellaceae. The record is from RNAcentral.
UUCAUUGAUAUUUUUCUAAAAAAAUAUGGUUGGAAGUAGUGAAAAAGAUACGAGGACAUAUACCCUCACUAAGGGUAUGACCCUUAAUAGAGUAGAAUGACGAAACAAGAUUCGUAUAGCUGAUCUCAAUCGGUUGGGAAAAGGUUUUGAUGAUGAUAAUAUUUGAUAAUAAUGUCUUAAAUUUAUUUUAAAUUUUUUCAGCCAUCUUUUACCUAUAGAGAAGGAGAGACAGUUUGCAUAAAAAGUUACCAAAAUAACGAUUGCAAAGACCUUUUUUUUUUGGUAAUUCAGUGGGGAAAGGCAUUGCCCCUACCUGUUUUUUCAUAUAGAUUAGGUAGCUAGUUUUUUUUCAAGUUGUCAAUUAGUGCAUGGUAACUAGGUGCGGGG